UACAGAGGGGGCAAGCGUUAUUCGGAAUUAUUGGGCGUAAAGGGCGCGUAGGCGGCUUUGCAAGUGACGGGUGAAAGCCCCCGGCUCAACUGGGGAGGGUCACUCGAUACUGAUCGACUCGAAGGCAGAAGAGGGAAGCGGAAUUCCCGGUGUAGUGGUGAAAUGCGUAGAUAUCGGGAGGAACACCAGUGGCGAAGGCGGCUUUCUGGUCUGCUCUUGACGCUGAGGCGCGAAAGCUAGGGUAGCAAACGGG
Molecule: ribosomal RNA, 253 nt
Filed under: uncultured bacterium
Lineage: Bacteria
Description: partial 16S ribosomal RNA
Rfam family: Bacterial small subunit ribosomal RNA
Source: RNAcentral